RNAcentral lists this transfer RNA (68 nucleotides) under Lingula anatina. Its description in RNAcentral is "tRNA-Gln". The record is from RNAcentral. Lineage: Eukaryota; Metazoa; Brachiopoda; Lingulata; Lingulida; Lingulidae.
UGCGGCUUAGUGUAAUUAGCACUCAAAGUUUUGGUCUUUGUAGUCAGGGUUAUAUCCCUGAGUCGCAU